UCCCCAGUGGCGCAAUAGGUUAGCGCGCUGUACUUAUAAUGCGGAGGUUGUGAGUUCAAGCCUCACCUGGGGAA
Molecule: transfer RNA, 74 nt
Filed under: Strongylocentrotus purpuratus (purple sea urchin)
Lineage: Eukaryota; Metazoa; Echinodermata; Echinoidea; Camarodonta; Strongylocentrotidae
Description: tRNA-Ile (TAT) (tRNA-Ile-TAT-5-1)
Rfam family: tRNA
About the family: Transfer RNA (tRNA) molecules are approximately 80 nucleotides in length. Their secondary structure includes four short double-helical elements and three loops (D, anti-codon, and T loops).
Source: RNAcentral